RNAcentral lists this non-coding RNA (179 nucleotides) under Lachnospiraceae bacterium. RNAcentral's name for it is "6S RNA". It matches the Rfam family "6S / SsrS RNA". From Rfam's summary of the family: E. coli 6S RNA was the first non coding RNA to be sequenced, but its function was unknown until recently. It consists of 184 nucleotides that fold into an extended hairpin structure with a large single-stranded internal bulge. Lineage: Bacteria; Bacillati; Bacillota; Clostridia; Lachnospirales; Lachnospiraceae. The record is from RNAcentral.
ACUAUCCUAGGAUGUACGACACUCCCUGUUAUUUUGAACCUACAUCACUUUAAAAGGGAUUCCUAUAUUUACAGGUCGCUGCAAUGCCUCCGUAUGAGUGGACUGCAAAAGCCUGUGUGCGGUUACCCACCUAGCUUUGCUAGGAGUCAAAAUACAGGAAACGGCAUUCCGGGAUAGUU